RNAcentral lists this ribosomal RNA (465 nucleotides) under uncultured bacterium. RNAcentral describes it as "partial 16S ribosomal RNA". It matches the Rfam family "Bacterial small subunit ribosomal RNA", at positions 338 to 795 of the family's 1533-position model. The record is from RNAcentral.
CCUACGGGAGGCAGCAGUGGGGAAUAUUGCGCAAUGGGCGAAAGCCUGACGCAGCGACGCCGCGUGAGGGAUGAAGGUCUUCGGGUCGUACACCUCUGUCAGCAGGGAAGAACGGUCACUGUGCUAAUCAGCCGUGAAUUGACGGUACCUGCAAAGGAAGCACCGGCUAACUCCGUGCCAGCAGCCGCGGUAAUACGGAGGGUGCGAGCGUUAAUCGGAAUUACUGGGCGUAAAGCGCUCGUAGGCGGUAUGUUAAGUCAAGUGUGAAAUCCCCGGGCUCAACGUGGGAACUGCCUUUGAAACUGGCAAACUGGAGUGUGUGAGAGGAUAGUGGAAUUCCAGGUGUAGGAGUGAAAUGCGUAGAUGUCUGGAGGAACACCAGUGGCGAAGGCGACUAUCUGGCACAUAACUGACGCUGAGGAGCGAAAGCGUGGGUAGCAAACAGGAUUAGAUACCCUAGUAGUC